Molecule: ribosomal RNA, 934 nt
Filed under: human gut metagenome
Description: bacterial SSU rRNA
Rfam family: Bacterial small subunit ribosomal RNA
Source: RNAcentral
AGAGUUUGAUUCUGGCUCAGAACGAACGCUGGCGGCGUGGAUAAGACAUGCAAGUCGAACGAGAGAAUUGCUAGCUUGCUAAUAAUUCUCUAGUGGCGCACGGGUGAGUAACACGUGAGUAACCUGCCCCCGAGAGCGGGAUAGCCCUGGGAAACUGGGAUUAAUACCGCAUAGUAUCGAAAGAUUAAAGCAGCAAUGCGCUUGGGGAUGGGCUCGCGGCCUAUUAGUUAGUUGGUGAGGUAACGGCUCACCAAGGCGAUGACGGGUAGCCGGUCUGAGAGGAUGUCCGGCCACACUGGAACUGAGACACGGUCCAGACACCUACGGGUGGCAGCAGUCGAGAAUCAUUCACAAUGGGGGAAACCCUGAUGGUGCGACGCCGCGUGGGGGAAUGAAGGUCUUCGGAUUGUAAACCCCUGUCAUGUGGGAGCAAAUUAAAAAGAUAGUACCACAAGAGGAAGAGACGGCUAACUCUGUGCCAGCAGCCGCGGUAAUACAGAGGUCUCAAGCGUUGUUCGGAAUCACUGGGCGUAAAGCGUGCGUAGGCUGUUUCGUAAGUCGUGUGUGAAAGGCGCGGGCUCAACCCGCGGACGGCACAUGAUACUGCGAGACUAGAGUAAUGGAGGGGGAACCGGAAUUCUCGGUGUAGCAGUGAAAUGCGUAGAUAUCGAGAGGAACACUCGUGGCGAAGGCGGGUUCCUGGACAUUAACUGACGCUGAGGCACGAAGGCCAGGGGAGCGAAAGGGAUUAGAUACCCCUGUAGUCCUGGCAGUAAACGGUGCACGCUUGGUGUGCGGGGAAUCGACCCCCUGCGUGCCGGAGCUAACGCGUUAAGCGUGCCGCCUGGGGAGUACGGUCGCAAGAUUAAAACUCAAAGAAAUUGACGGGGACCCGCACAAGCGGUGGAGUAUGUGGCUUAAUUCGAUGCAACGC